UUUUAUGGAGAGUUUGAUCCUGGCUCAGGAUGAACGCUGGCGGCGUGCCUAAUACAUGCAAGUCGAGCGAACGGACGAGAACUUGCUUCUCUGAUGUUAGCGGCGGACGGGUGAGUAACACGUGGAUAACCUACCUAUAAGACUGGGAUAACUUCGGGAAACCGGAGCUAAUACCGGAUAAUAUUUUGAACCGCAUGGUUCAAAAGUGAAAGACGGUCUUGCUGUCACUUAUAGAUGGAUCCGCGCUGCAUUAGCUAGUUGGUAAGGUAACGGCUUACCAAGGCAACGAUGCAUAGCCGACCUGAGAGGGUGAUCGGCCACACUGGAACUGAGACACGGUCCAGACUCCUACGGGAGGCAGCAGUAGGGAAUCUUCCGCAAUGGGCGAAAGCCUGACGGAGCAACGCCGCGUGAGUGAUGAAGGUCUUCGGAUCGUAAAACUCUGUUAUUAGGGAAGAACAUAUGUGUAAGUAACUGUGCACAUCUUGACGGUACCUAAUCAGAAAGC
Molecule: ribosomal RNA, 508 nt
Filed under: Staphylococcus aureus
Lineage: Bacteria; Bacillati; Bacillota; Bacilli; Caryophanales; Staphylococcaceae
Description: bacterial SSU rRNA
Rfam family: Bacterial small subunit ribosomal RNA
Source: RNAcentral